UACGGGGGGGGCAAGCGUUGUUCGGAAUUACUGGGCGUAAAGGGCUCGUAGGCGGCCAACUAAGUCAGACGUGAAAUCCCUCGGCUUAACCGGGGAACUGCGUCUGAUACUGGAUGGCUUGAGGUUGGGAGAGGGAUGCGGAAUUCCAGGUGUAGCGGUGAAAUGCGUAGAUAUCUGGAGGAACACCGGUGGCGAAAGGCGGCAUCCUGGACUAAUUCUGACGCUGAGUGAGCGAAAGCCAGGGGAGCAAACGGG
Molecule: ribosomal RNA, 255 nt
Filed under: uncultured bacterium
Lineage: Bacteria
Description: partial 16S ribosomal RNA
Rfam family: Bacterial small subunit ribosomal RNA
Source: RNAcentral